AAAGGAAUAGACGGGGGCCCGCACAAGCGGAGGAACAUGUGGUUUAAUUCGAUGAUACGCGAGGAACCUUACCCGGGUUUGAACGGUCGCUGCGUAUGGGUGAAAGCUCAUAGUCCGCGAGGACAGCGGUCGAGGUGCUGCAUGGUUGUCGUCAGCUCGUGCCGUGAGGUGUCGGGUUAAGUCCCAUAACGAGCGCAACCCCUACCGACAGUUGCCAUCAGGUGAUGCUGGGGACUCUGUCGGGACUGCCGGUGUAAACCGCGAGGAAGGCGGGGAUGACGUCAAAUCAGCACGGCCCUUACAUCCGGGGCUACACACGUGUUACAAUGGACGGUACAGAGGGCAGCAAGCGGGUGACCGCAAGCGAAUCCUCAAAGCCGUUCUUAGUUCGGAUCGGAGUCUGCAACUCGACUCCGUGAAGCCGGAUUCGCUAGUAAUCGCGCAUCAGCCACGGCGCGGUGAAUACGUUCCCGGGCCUUGUACACACCGCCCGU
This 494-nucleotide ribosomal RNA is filed under the name uncultured bacterium. RNAcentral's name for it is "bacterial SSU rRNA". It matches the Rfam family "Bacterial small subunit ribosomal RNA", at positions 903 to 1397 of the family's 1533-position model. The record is from RNAcentral.